Molecule: ribosomal RNA, 216 nt
Filed under: Glomeromycotina sp.
Lineage: Eukaryota; Fungi; Glomeromycota
Description: partial small subunit ribosomal RNA
Rfam family: Eukaryotic small subunit ribosomal RNA (bases 40-216)
Source: RNAcentral
GGGUCAGUAGGUUGGUCGUGCCACCGGUACGUACUGGUCUCACUUUUUCCUCCUUCCUGAACAACCGUAAUGCCAUUAAUUUGGUGUUGCGGGGAAACAGGACUGUUACUUUGAAAAAAUUAGAGUGUUUAAAGCAAGCUAACGCUUGAAUACAUUAGCAUGGAAUAAUGAAAUAGGACGAUCGAUCCUAUUUUGUUGGUUUCUAGGAUUGACGUA